AAUUAAAUGGCCGAAUUUAGGCAAUAAAUUGUAAAUUUAUGUAUGAAAGUUUUUUUCUUUAAUUA
Molecule: transfer RNA, 65 nt
Filed under: Paracladura trichoptera
Lineage: Eukaryota; Metazoa; Arthropoda; Insecta; Diptera; Trichoceridae
Description: tRNA-Tyr
Source: RNAcentral